This 37-nucleotide transfer RNA is filed under the name Stilpnogyne bellidioides. RNAcentral describes it as "partial tRNA-Leu". Lineage: Eukaryota; Viridiplantae; Streptophyta; Magnoliopsida; Asterales; Asteraceae. The record is from RNAcentral. RNAcentral also lists the same sequence under 12 other names.
AAUCCGUCGAUUUCAAAAAUCGUGAGGGUUCAAGUCC